Molecule: unclassified non-coding RNA, 1005 nt
Filed under: uncultured fungus
Lineage: Eukaryota; Fungi
Description: sequence contains 18S rRNA gene, ITS1, 5.8S rRNA gene, ITS2, 28S rRNA gene
Source: RNAcentral
CACCGUAUUCCGCUACGAUCUCAUGUGGGAGUUUGUCAGUGCUAUCGUCGAGAGGCGUGAGGCGGUACCUGACUUUUAUGACGGAUUGCGCGCGCAAGUCGUGGUCGAUUCCGUGUUGAAAUCGGAUAACGACCGGCGAUGGUUGGACAUCGACGACGAACCUCGAUAAGCUCAAGCCAGUGCCCGGUGCCGCUCUUCCCGCGAGGCGUUCCGCAUGUCGAUCAGCGUCGAAACUCCAGUCCAAGCGAUUCAUCCGGCGGAGCGGAUCAUGCACCGCCUCACGGGAAUCCAGAUCCUCGCGAUCGAUGCCUUUGCGCCACCGGAGGUCGUCGACAACAAGGACCUUUCGGCGCUCGGGUAUGACGAGCAGUGGAUUGUCCAGCGAACGGGAAUUCGAGAACGGCGCCGAGCUCCUGCGGGCAUGACGGCCAGCGAAGUGGCGUUCGAGGCGGCGCGCGGUUGUUUGGAAAAGGCGGCGUUGAGCCCGGCGGAAAUCGAUUUGAUUCUCGUGGCCACCGUCACACCCGAUACUCAUAUGCCAGCCGCGGCGUGUCACCUGCAGCGUCGGUUGGGAUCGCACGCGGCCGCGAUGGACAUCAACGCCGCUUGCUCCGGAUUCAUCUACGCCUUCGCCACUGCGGCGCAGUUCGUCAAGACCGGAUUCGCUCAACGAGUACUCGUCGUAGGUGUCGACCUGAUGUCCCGAAUUGUGGACCCGCAAGACAAGAAAACGUAUCCGCUCUUCGGCGAUGGAGCCGGCGCGGUAAUUCUCGGUCCAGGAGAUUCCGAACAAGGGCUGCUGUCCUACACGCUGGGUGCCGACGGCAGCGGGGCGGAACUCUUAUGCAUUCCUGCAGGCGGCACGCGGGAGCCUAUCUCCGCUUCGACGUUUUCCGAGAAGCGCUAUUUCAUGCGGAUGCAAGGCAAGCCGAUCUUCAAAUGGGCGGUGCGCACGGUGUCCGAUACGAUUCGCGAGGUUGUCGCCGCCGCUCGCUUGACGCUGAC